Molecule: ribosomal RNA, 99 nt
Filed under: uncultured bacterium
Lineage: Bacteria
Description: partial 16S ribosomal RNA
Source: RNAcentral
CUUCGGCCCGUAAACCCCUGUCAUUUGCGAACAAAUUGGUUCACCUAACACGUGAACCAUUGAUAGUAGCGGAAGAGGAAGGGACGGCUAACUCUGUGC